Molecule: transfer RNA, 82 nt
Filed under: Oryctolagus cuniculus (rabbit)
Lineage: Eukaryota; Metazoa; Chordata; Mammalia; Lagomorpha; Leporidae
Rfam family: tRNA
About the family: Transfer RNA (tRNA) molecules are approximately 80 nucleotides in length. Their secondary structure includes four short double-helical elements and three loops (D, anti-codon, and T loops). Further hydrogen bonds mediate the characteristic L-shaped molecular structure. tRNAs have two regions of fundamental functional importance: the anti-codon, which is responsible for specific mRNA codon recognition, and the 3' end, to which the tRNAs corresponding amino acid is attached (by aminoacyl-tRNA synthetases). tRNAs cope with the degeneracy of the genetic code in two manners: having more than one tRNA (with a specific anti-codon) for a particular amino acid; and 'wobble' base-pairing, i.e. permitting non-standard base-pairing at the 3rd anti-codon position.
Source: Rfam by way of RNAcentral
GGUGCUGUGGCGUAGCUGGUAAAGCCACAGCCUGCAAUGCUGGCAUCCCAUAUGGGCUCUGGUUCGAGUCCUGGCUGCUCCA